RNAcentral lists this small RNA (31 nucleotides) under Bombyx mori (domestic silkworm). RNAcentral's name for it is "ovarian small RNA-15111". The record is from RNAcentral. Lineage: Eukaryota; Metazoa; Arthropoda; Insecta; Lepidoptera; Bombycidae.
GAAAUUGCGUCGAUAGUCGAGCGGCCCUCUC